CACAUUUCGGAUUGAUGAUAAAUUAACAUAUUUCCUCAACUAGGAUUUCUUAGGACUUUUAGUAUGUUGUUCUGGGCACCUCAUAGAAAUGAUCUAUGCUGAAAAAAAAUUAUUUUACAAUUAGUCUGUCGUAAAAUGCUACUUUGCCUGGACUAAAAAUAAAUUAAGUAAUUGUGAUUAUGAUUUUUUUUAAUUCAUGGCCAAAGUAUCAUUACUGAAAUCAAAUAUACAUUCAUUAAAGAAAAGGAAGAGAAAAUAUAUGAUAGAACUGAUAGAAAGUGGCAGGGACAUUAGCAUACAUAAUUUAGAAAUACAUCUGAAUAUAUAUGCCUUACACUGAACAAAGACCAUAACCACUAUUCUUCUCAUGUAGCCUACCCCAAUUACAAUUUCAACCUUACCAUUACAAUUUUGUUAUUGGUAUUUUACUUUCAUUUUCUUGUAAACAAAAGUGAGUCUCCUGAGUCAGCCGUAGAUAGAUAGAUAGAUAUAGACCAAUAGAGGGAUAGAGAAAUAAAUGUUAUACUUGUUACCAAAUCUUUAUUUUUGAUAAACCAGACAACUUUUCCAGUCACAUAAUAAAUAAAAUUAAGACAACAACUUACAACAUACUUUCCAUUUCUUUUUCCAGAUGCUGAAAACAUGAUGCAAACUGUUGAGACGAAGACAUUUUGUGGAGUAAUUUUCCUCGACGAGGACGUUACAGAAGUUGUGCCGAGGUCAUGGGUUAAAGGUGAUGAAUGUUUUUGGCCAACAUUCAUUUCCAAGGAAAAAACCCAAAAGGCCAUAAAGAGGCAUGAAAUGCCAGGCCUUGGCUGGAAAAUCUCAAAACAAGAACACUCUUUGAAAAAGGUAAAUAAACAAGCAAACUUGUUUCUAUAAUUCUAUGUCUUUCCAUGUUAGGACAACAGUUAUGCCUUACUUCCUUUGUCCUUAAUUAUCUCCAUAUAUGUCUUUCUUUCUUUUUUUUUUAUUAUAGUAGAUGACUUCAGUAAGACAAGGCAAAAGCUGAAGGACUACAACAGAAAUGGAACGGCAGUCCUCCAGUCAGAGGAUGAGGGCUCCAUGGCAAAAAGGAGAAGAAAAGCGACACAUUACCCAGGAUUUGAAAACGGCAGUACUGACUCUGAAACUGAGCAGACUCCAAAAAGAAGACCAGAGUCUCGGCCUCGGCCUCGGCCUCAACCUCUCCCUAUUAGCGCUACCCUUCCUAGUCUCCCUCCAGCCCCCCUCUCGGACAUCGCAGUGGACAUGGGUCAGGAGUCUCUGGACAACACAGGACAGGGAACCUAUACAGACAUAAGCUGGAAUGUGAGGAGGGAGUCAGACCCCUUCAAUGUAAUCAAUAGCUCAGCGCACCAGUCAGCACCACCUCAACACUCAGUGCACCAGUCAACACCACCACCACCUCAACACUUGAGUCCAGUGUUUGACAUUAAUAUGGGCUUCCCCUAUUCACAUGCCAGCGGUGGUGGCGAGCCUGGAGGUCACCUCCUCUUCAAGCCAACCUUCAGAGUUGGCCAUGAAACAGGGCCAAUUCCUUGCACACCGGCUCAGCUACAUGGCCUAUUGCUUUUGGAAAACCUAAAGCAGCAGGUUGCCCAACUCACCACCACCGUGAACCUGCUCAUGGCCAAGGUCAAUAACGGCCUCCAACCAGCAGCCUUUGAGUGGUCCGGGGAAUUUCAAUUCCCCCUGGAAUCAGAUCCAGAGCUGGACCGCUUUGAGGCCUGGCUGGCGGACCCUGCCAACGAUAGGCAGAAACAUGCCCUUGUAAGCAUAUUCCCCCAAUAUGUUCUCAUUGUACUCAAGACACUUGUUUCAUCUUACACUAAAUCUAAUUAAUCUAAAGUAAUAUUUAUUGCUACAGUAGACUAAGCUCUUUAUGAUGAUGUAACUGUAAUCUAAUUCAUCUAAAGUAAUAUUUAUUGCUAGACUAAGCUCUUUAUGAUGAUGUAACUUGAAUGUUAUGGAUAAAAGCAUCAUCCAAUUGCCCACAUGUCUUAAUUGUGAAAAAAAAAAAACUGUCAAAAAAGUGGCUUACCUGUUUAAAAACUUGUGCAACGGUGAUCCAACCACUAUCUUCAUGCCCCUAGGGGAAUACCCUGUCUGCGGUCGGGGGUGUGGAUUUGAAGAGGGUGACAUGGAACAUUUUGUCAUACCUGUUUUCCUGCCCCCUUUCCUGAACAAUUAAUUGGAAGGGUGUGAACAAGAAGAGGGCCUUCCACAGGAUGGCAUCACGGACCCUCCUCAGCCGUGCAGUGGGCAAAUGCGCACUGACAGCAACUGCAACAGAAGCUGAAAUAUGGAGGCAUGCUAUAAGGUGGUUUGCCCUUUCGGCGGACAGGAGAGGAGGGCGCCAGGAGAUACUGGCGCGUCAGCAGCAGGAGCAGCAACAGCAACAGCUGCCACAGCACCCAGCUAGUGAUUUUGUUUAAGUGCAUGUUUUUUUAUUCACGUUGUGUUUAUAGCCUGUGCGUUUUUUUAUCCAUUAAUUCUGUGUUUGUUGUUGAGUGUGUUUUGUGUUAAUUGUUGACUUUGUUCAUGACUUUGUUGUUCAUUUUUUAUAAUUAAAUCUAUGUAUUCGUGGUCAUUAAUUCUGUGUUUGUUAACUUUGUUCACGUUGUUUUAGUAUGCGUUUUAAUCAUUAAAACGAUUUAUUUCAGCUAUAGCCUAUAGGCCUACGCAUUGCUCCAACUGAAACUAGCCUUUAUCAAGUCAAGUCAAGCUUUUUAUUUAUAGCCAAGGCCUUGUAGUGAAAAUGUUUUUCUGGACAUUUUCACAGUCUGUGAAAAUGUAGGCCUAUGCCGGUAGCAUAGGUUACUAUGAUACCCUAACUGACAAAAAUGCCGAAAAUAAGGCAAAAGGACAAUCCAGUGGUGAUUUAAGCGGAUUCGUAACACAUCCGGCACAGCUCCGGUAGGCGGAAUCGUUUCACGCACCCGUUACGCAUGUGUAACAGGAUGAUCAGGCGGUGCUGGAUCGGCGCUGGCACAUAUCCGCAACAACCCCUAAAAACAGACCAGAAACGGCUUCGGCCCGAUGUGCGUUUGGACUCAGGAACGAGUCCGUGAGGCGGAUGCGGGCCAGACCCGGCUCUAUCGUUUUGCGGUUGCGGCCCUGUUCCGUUACAGCGUCCAGUGGCUAUCUGGG
This is a long non-coding RNA of Cyprinus carpio carpio, 3153 nucleotides long. NCBI's taxonomy places the organism in Eukaryota, Metazoa, Chordata, Actinopteri, Cypriniformes, Cyprinidae. The record is from Ensembl.